Molecule: small nuclear RNA, 122 nt
Organism: Colobus angolensis palliatus
Lineage: Eukaryota; Metazoa; Chordata; Mammalia; Primates; Cercopithecidae
Gene: U4
Rfam family: U4 spliceosomal RNA
About the family: U4 small nuclear RNA (U4 snRNA) is a component of the major U2-dependent spliceosome. The structure of U4 snRNA from yeast and human has been reported.
Source: Ensembl
AGCUUUGUGAAGUGGCAGUAUCAUAGCCAGUGAGGUUUAUCCAAGGCACGAUUAUUGCUAACUGAGCAGGCCUGCUUCUUAAGUCCCUCAGUAGUCAGAAAAUCCACUGGUCAUACAAAUGU